This 493-nucleotide ribosomal RNA is filed under the name uncultured bacterium. RNAcentral's name for it is "partial 16S ribosomal RNA". It matches the Rfam family "Bacterial small subunit ribosomal RNA", at positions 28 to 506 of the family's 1533-position model. The record is from RNAcentral.
GACGAACGCUGGCGGCGUGCUUAACACAUGCAAGUCGAACGGUGAAGCGCCUUCCUUUUUGGUGGGUGUGGAUGAGUGGCGAACGGGUGAGUAACACGUGAGUAACCUGCCCCCUUCUUCUGGAUAACCGCAUGAAAGUGUGGCUAAUACGGGAUAUUCUGGGUCUGUCGCAUGAUGGGUCUGGGAAAGAUAUUGUUUCGGUGGGGGAUGGGCUCGCGGCCUAUCAGCUUGUUGGUGGGGUGAUGGCCUACCAAGGCGGUGACGGGUAGCCGGCCUGAGAGGGUGGACGGUCACACUGGGACUGAGACACGGCCCAGACUCCGACGGGAGGCAGCAGGGGGGAAUAUUGCACAAUGGGCGCAAGCCUGAUGCAGCGACGCCGCGUGAGGGAUGGAGGCCUUCGGGUUGUGAACCUCUUUCGCCAGUGAAGCAGGCCUGCCUCGUUUGUGGGUGGGUUGACGGUAGCUGGAUAAGAAGCGCCGGCUAACUACGU